UCCAUCUUGUUCUUCGAUCGUAAACUCACCCUCCCUACGUUCAAAUUGCUUUUUUUCCGCUUAUACCGUCUUUGUCAGAGGGAAAAAAAAAUUGGGGGAGGGGAUUUCCUACCAGAUUCGGCAACAGGAGCGUCCAUAGCAGCUCUGGAAAAAGACGAUAAUAAUCACGCCACUAGGGUGAGACUGGGUGUGGCCGACUGUCAUCAGGACAAGAGCCAACAGAGUAGCCUCCUUCAGAGGCGGGCCCUCUUAUAAGAGACUAAUCUCUCAGCGAACUGGAACCUGCAUAAAUUGUUAACGUACAUCCUUAAAUCAGGAAUUUAUUUUUAACGUCAUCGUGAAAGAGUCGUACUUCAUCACGAUGAAGUCACUAAAUGGAGGCAUUCUGGCGCUGCAGGAUUCAACAAAAAAGGCCCACGUAAUGAAGGACUAAAACAAAGAACUGCGAAUACAGGAAAUCUUAAACAAAAACAAAAACAAAAAUUGCUGAAGAAACUCAGCAAGCUCCCUCCAGGGUAACGAACCUUCCUUGGCCCUGUACUUACAUCCUCAAAAACAAGAAAAACAAUGAAUAGACUAAAUGGAAUCAAGGAAAUUCCAGAAUAAUCAAACUCAAGCCCAAUAUUCUCAAAAAGGUUUUAGAAAGCAUAUAAUGGGCAGAAGGCAGCAAAGUGGAACUGAUUAUCAGGCCAGCCAGAAUCUCACCAAAUGGUAGAGCAGACUCAAUGGGCUGGAUGGCCUGCUUCUGCUCCUGCUUAUGGUCUUACAUUGCUAGCAUUUUCCUGAUGAAUUGCUCAGAAGGAGCAGAAAAGAUGUCCUAGCAGACCAAGACAUCAUAUACUUCAAGUUGCAAUUCUGUAUUGUUCUGACAUUUUGAUUAUUGAAGUGUACAUCAUGUUGCUCCUGCUAUAGAGAAUGGUACUACUGUAGCAGGGCACUGUAACUUUAUUCUCUACUUCCAACACUUGUUUAAUUCUUAAUUCUUUAUUACCUUUUCACUAAUCCCAUGAUACUUCACUCACCUGGCAUCAUUAAAACAUGUUGUCAACUGGCCACCUGAAACAUCACUGUCACAUAUGCAGGUGCUUCAGUCUAAAUUUCUGUUAAACAGUGCUGUGAUAUAACAUUUUAAAGAGGCGAUAUAUGACGAAAACAUUAAAUGUGUUGCAGAGAGAGUUAAGGCAGCAAAUUAUCCUUCCACUAAUAAUUCUCAACAUCCAACAGAUUUUAAGUGACAGCAGAACCAAAAGGUUGAAUUAACAACAUUGCCAUUUUGUCACCCUAGCUGUACUUCAUAAUAUUCGGAAAAGAUUUUCUGAACAUCCAAGAUCAUACAGAAAAUGUUUGUGACUUGAAAGGACAUAUAUAGGCAGUAAAUUAAAAUUUUGAUAUCAACUUCUAAAGUACAGAAUAUCCAAACUCCAUUUAUCCAAGGGGGUGGGAAAGAUAACCAAAAACCAGAAGUAUUUGCUGCUUUUAUACUGGCUAGAUUUCUUGUUUUGUUUUGUAAAAUAUCUACAUCCUUCAAACUACAGAUAUUUCCACAUUGCUUUCUCAGCUUUUUUUUGCAAUAGGUAUUUACAUAUUUUGCUGAUGUUGCCAAAACAAAAAUGCACAAAUCAAAGUGGCAUCUGGUAUCACUAUUAAAAGCUCUGAAGUUCCAGCCAGACGUAGAGAAAUGCUCCAUCCCCUGCACCGAGGUCUAAACCAGAAUUUUUUCUUUUUGCAUAAAUUUUCCACACUAGCCACUGAUAUACCUUUGGUGUGAGAAUGUCAGCCUUUGAUUUUUGCAUAUGGGCUGAUGCUUGCCUGCAAUUUCACUCAAGACUCCAUAAAACAGGGGGGAAAAAAAAGUUUUAUAUAAGUUGAGGCCCAGCACUACAGGAGAAAGGACAGCAUACUAACCAAUUGCCUCAGCCUGUAAAGAUAUUAAAUAAUCUGAUGAACUCACUGUCGCCAAAUGAAUCCUCCAUCCUUCUUAAUGGAUAAUCAUCGUUGCUGUUAGUUGUUGGCCGAGCUCUCCAGUCAGACUCCAUCUCCGCAUCACGAAUUCUGUCUCGAUCUCCUCCCCUGCCUGAUUCUCUUUCUGAGUUCAAGUGGAGAUAGAAACCAAAGUGUUAAAAUCAAGCACAUCAAAAUUUCUCAGAAUUGUACUUGUAUUUACACUCUACAUUCAGUAGUCCAGUGAGCCAUGAAGCACAAACGUUUCUAGGUCAGUCCUUUGUUCACUGGCCAAGAUCAAGGGGAAAGUAUGAUAUUAUAAUCGCUAAGUUAGUUAUCAAUAAGACAUUUAACGCCAGAAAAUGUUCAAAACUUGCAUAGUACGAUUGUAUCCAAAUAACUACUUCAAAAGACUACUUAACUCAAAAAUUUCACAUCAACAUCUGCUCUGAUGAAAUAUUGGUGUAACUAGAAGUUACAGUAUUAAAGUGCCAUCAGAAAGCAAUUUGAGCAAUUAAAGUAUUCCUACUUUGAAAUCUCAGAGUGCUAAGACAAUGUAUCACAAUCAACAAAUAAAUGAGAGAUAUAUCUCUCCAUCUAUAGACUGUUCAUAACUUAUUCUGAUAGUAUGCAUUUAGAGCUUUCAUGGAUAUUUGUAAUUUCAAUGCUAGCUCCAACAGAUUUCCUGAUGGAACAGAAAGAAUUUCAAAAGGUCAGUUACCUGUUAAAAUAUAGAAACUGUACCUUUUUCCUGGGCUUGAUCAGCAAUAUCUACCCUUAUUCUUCGGUUUUGCAACAUCUAAGUGUAAAAACAUCAUAGAUAGAAAGGUUUCAGCAUGGUUGCUAAAAACAUUUAGGACUACUGUAAAUAUUAACUGAAAUACCCCACAAACAUGGAUGCUAUCAAUAAUUUUGCA
Stegostoma tigrinum is the source of this 2858-nucleotide long non-coding RNA. RefSeq lists it as uncharacterized. NCBI's taxonomy places the organism in Eukaryota, Metazoa, Chordata, Chondrichthyes, Orectolobiformes, Stegostomatidae. The transcript has 3 exons. The record is from RefSeq and is a predicted model, not a curated record.